Long non-coding RNA from Mauremys mutica (yellowpond turtle), 1260 nucleotides. RefSeq lists it as uncharacterized. The transcript is spliced from 4 exons. NCBI's taxonomy places the organism in Eukaryota, Metazoa, Chordata, Testudines, Geoemydidae. The record is from RefSeq and is a predicted model, not a curated record.
UGCCGGAGCAGAGAACCGCCCGCCCAUCUCUGCUCGGUUGGAAGCAGAUCCUCUCCUGCGGCCUUCACUGGAGAGCGCUCCCCGGGACGUGUCCCCUGAGUGCACCGGCCGUCCUGCUCCUCUGCUGCUUUCCCAGUCAGCCAGACACCAUAUUUCUUCUCCUCCCAACAUAUUUCCCAGCAGUGCAGGUGAAUCCAGCAUCCCUGGCUAAAUGGAUAGAAUAUCAGGAGUGCCUGGCUUAAUAAUGUUAGCAUUUAAAUGUGGUAACAAUAUUUAACCUGCUGCAUUAACAACCUGUUGAAAAGCAGAGGAGAAGAUUCCACUUUGUGUUGCUCAGUCUGCAGAUUCCAAAAAAACCCACAGCAUCUCGGGUUACAUUUAGAAGACUAUCUCCUUCCUGAAGGGCUGUAAAGUGCAUUUGAUGUAACAAAAACAAUCCUUCCCAAGUCUUGCUGUCCAGCUCAUAAUAGCUAUGACACUCAAGAAUGUAUUCUUUGAUGGAACUGCUACCUCAUGCUUCCCUGGAGCAGUGGAAGUGACUGACAUCACCGUUGGCCAAAUGUGUCGACUGGAAUCAUGUGACCAGACAUGCUGUCAGUUCAGACUUUCAGAAAGAGAUUUGAUGCACGGAAUAAAGGUGUAAUAUUUGUCAGAACCCAACAUUGUGCUUUUUCCAAAGAAGGAAAAACUCCAGAAAAAGACAUUGUGGUCUAGGAUAUCUUGGUCUUUGAAAUGUUUUUUUAAAAACCACAUUCUAUGCAAUAACAAUGAUUUUUGUUUAAAAAAAGAAGUCUUUACAAGUCCUAACACAUAAUAUGUAGCUGGGGGGACGAGAUAAGGUGUUCUUUCCAACGUCACCCAAACCUUUUAAUUUUUCCUACAUUUCAUAACUUCGAAACAAAUAUCCAUGAGAACUUGCUGACCGAAUUGCUGCUUGUGUUCUUAAUUCAAGUAGUUAUAUAGGGCUUUAUCAUGUAACCUUUACUUGUGUGAGAAAAUGUUAUGAAUGGAAGUGGUUCCCAGUUGGGUCCUUUGGAUCAUACUGUAAUGUAAAUAUCUACUACUAAUAAUAAUCCUUUUGAUUGUUUUUGAUUGAACCCUUAUUUUCCUUCACAAUCUGCUCUUUGUGUUCAGUCUUUACUGAUACAUAAUGAAAGGUCUUUCAGUUUAGUUUAAGAAAUUUCCCAUCUGACACUUCAGCUCUUUGUAAUAUGUGCAUAUCCACAAAAGCUAUUUUGUAUUAGAGUAAUUCCAAUUAAA